UUUUCCCGCCUUUUCCCCUCACGAUUUUCCCGCCUUUUCCCCUCACGAUUUUCCCGCCUUUUCCUCCAUCUUGUGAUCCCAUCCCCUCACGAUUUUCCUGCCUUUUCCCCUCACAAUUUUCCCACCUUUUCCCCUCACGAUUUUCCUUUCUCUCCUCCAUGUUCUCACCCCGUCCCCUCACGAUUUCCCCGCAGGAGGAGGGGCUCAAAUUGACCUUCCAGAAACAUCGGCUGGGGCCCAACGGGGCCCAACGGGCGCAAAACCCCCCGAAGAAAAACAGCAAGAAACUGGUGGAGGUGAGGAGAUUUUGGGGCUAAAAGCCCCAGUUUUGAGAGUUCCAGGGCACCGCGGGAUUUCCGGGAGGUUUGGGUUCCCUUGUCUUUAAAUUUAUCAACAGGGAUUUGGGGAAAACAGCGGAAAUUGGGGUUUGCUCUUGGGUUUUGGGGUUGGUGACAGAAUUGUGCAGCUUCCCGUCAGGUUUUUGGGGAGUUUUGCCAAAAUUUGGGUGUUUCUCAUUAGAGUUUUGGGUUCCUUAAGGGGUGUGUGCCCAAAUCUGGGGGUUUCCCAUCAGAAUUUGGAGUUUUCCACCAGAAUUUGGGAAUUUUUCUGUCAGGUUUUUGAGCUGUUUUUGGCGUUGGUGCCCGUACUUGGGGAUGUCCAAAAGAUUUUUGGGUUAUUUCAAGUUUUGUGCCAACAUUUGGGCGUUUCCCAUCAGAUUUGGGGAUUUCCCACCAAAAAUUGGGCGUUUUCUCCUGGAGUUUUAAAUUAUUUUGGAGUUUUGCACCCAAAUUUGGGGGUGGGAUAUUUUUGGGCACCUCCGAGGGGUUCAGAGCAUCCAAACCCCCCCCUGGAUUUCGGGGUGCCGCCAUUUUCACCCCGAAUUUGGGUGGUUUUGUGCCACAAUUCCGGAUUUUUCCCUGAUUUUUGGCGCUUUUUCCCAAAACCGCUGUUUUUCCCCCCAAGCUGGAGCUGCGCUGCCUCGAGGGGCUCCGGGACCCCCCUGGGGGACCCCGAGGGGGGCCCUGGGGGCCCCUCCCCCCCACCGCGGCGACGGCCCCGAAUUCUCCGACCCCCGGCUGCUCCCGGUGAGCCCCAAAAACCCCGGGAUUCACCCCAAAACCGCGGGGCCCGCCCCAAACCCUCCCGAAUUCACCCCAAAUUCUUCUCUCACCCCACCUCAGUUCGUGGAGCAGCGGCGGGAAAAGUGGCACCGGAAAAAGUUCAUCCCCUCCCCCCCCUCAGGUUUGGACCUUUCCAAGAUGGUGGCGUUGAUGGGGGGCGGAGCCAGCAGCGCAGGGGGCGUGGCCUCUCCUUCCUUAGCCCCGCCCCCGCGCUUCCGGCCGGAAGCAGAAGAGGAAGCGGAAGCAGGGAGCGGGUGCUGCCCCCUGCUGGCCGACCCCAUGUUGCCACCCACUUCCGACUCGGAUUAAGCCCCGCCCCUUUUCCUGCCGGGGCCACGCCCCCCUUCCCAUAUUUAUAUAAAUAUGUAAAAUGUCUCUGUGUCAUAGGGGGCGGGGCGGGGGGCGGGGCUGAGCGGGGCGGGGCCGAGCAGGGCGGGGUCAAUGUGGGCAGGGCUGGUGGGAUGGGAGGGGCCUGGCGGGUUUUUUUUAAUAAAAGGUUUGGAAAUGGAGCACAGUGCUGUGAGUGAUUUCCCCCUAAUUACCUGCUAA
This 1670-nucleotide long non-coding RNA is filed under the name Serinus canaria (Common canary). RNAcentral describes it as "lncRNA (ENSSCAG00000008944.1)". The record is from RNAcentral. Lineage: Eukaryota; Metazoa; Chordata; Aves; Passeriformes; Fringillidae.